UCUCCGUAGGUGAACCUGCGGAGGGAUCAUUACUGAGUGAGGGCUUCGGUCCGACCUCCAACCCUUUGUGAACCAACCUUGUUGCUUCGGGGGCGAACCUGCCGCUUCGGCGGUGCGGCGCCCCCGGAGGCCAUUAAACACUGCAUCAUUGCGUCGGAAUUAAAGUAAAUUAAACAAAACUUUCAACAACGGAUCUCUUGGUUUCAGCAUCGAUGAAGAACGCAGC
This 226-nucleotide unclassified non-coding RNA is filed under the name uncultured fungus. RNAcentral's name for it is "sequence contains ITS1, 5.8S rRNA gene". The stretch from base 178 to 226 matches the Rfam family "5.8S ribosomal RNA", at positions 1 to 49 of the family's 154-position model. Lineage: Eukaryota; Fungi. The record is from RNAcentral.